RNAcentral lists this transfer RNA (54 nucleotides) under Sarcoptes scabiei. RNAcentral's name for it is "tRNA-Val". The record is from RNAcentral. Lineage: Eukaryota; Metazoa; Arthropoda; Arachnida; Sarcoptiformes; Sarcoptidae.
UAGAGAAAAAAGAUCUUGCUUACAACAAGAAAAUAAAAAAUCUCUUUUCCUUAA